GGUGCAGGCGGUCUUUCAAGUCGGAUGUUAAAUCUUUCGGCUUAACUGGAAGGGACCAUUCGAAACUGAGAGACUAGAGGACAGCAGAGGGAAGCGGAAUUCCCGGUGUAGUGGUGAAAUGCGUAGAUAUCGGGAGGAACACCAGUGGCGAAGGCGGCUUUCUGGGCUGUUUCUGACGCUGAGACCCAAAAGCGUGGGGAGCGAACAGGAUUAGAUACCCUGGUAGUCCACGCCCUAAACUAUGGACACUAGGUAUGGGGAGUAUCGACCCUCUCUGUGCCGAAGCUAACGCUUUAAGUGUCCCGCCUGGGGAGUACGGUCGCAAGACUAAA
RNAcentral lists this ribosomal RNA (332 nucleotides) under uncultured bacterium. RNAcentral describes it as "bacterial SSU rRNA". It matches the Rfam family "Bacterial small subunit ribosomal RNA", at positions 568 to 898 of the family's 1533-position model. The record is from RNAcentral.